This is a long non-coding RNA of Triticum aestivum (bread wheat), 4020 nucleotides long. RefSeq lists it as uncharacterized. NCBI's taxonomy places the organism in Eukaryota, Viridiplantae, Streptophyta, Magnoliopsida, Poales, Poaceae. The transcript is spliced from 3 exons. The record is from RefSeq and is a predicted model, not a curated record.
CUCCGUGCUCCCUGUUGGUUUCCCCCCUCCGCAUCGCUCGAUCCAACUCCUCCCUCUCCCUCGGUCUCGCCUCUCCUAUCGCUCGAUGUCGCUCGAUCCUCUCUAGGGUUCGCCGCCCGCCGCCGUCCCUCGCCGUCCUGCUCCGCUGUCGCCCCUCCCUCCACCUACCUCGCCCCUGCUCUAGGGUUCGCCUCCCGCCGCCGCCGCCCCCCGUCGCCCUGCUCCGCUGUUGCCCGUCCUUCCGCCUGCCUCGCCCCCUCCCCUACACUCACCCCUGCCCGAUCUGGAUGAGGCGUUGCCUCCUGUUCCUCUCAUCGCGUCCCUUGUGCCAGCCAUGGAAGAGGGGAGGAAGAAGGGGAGGGAGAGCAAAGAGGACCGCGGUGGCGAUGUGCCAACGUUGGCAGGACGAAGAUGUGUGAAUCAAGGAGUCCCUGCAUCUACCCGCGACCCUAGAAUAGCCGCUACCGCUGUGACCUUUCUCCAUGCCGUGAGCUUCGAGGAGUCUGGCGGCGCCAUCACGCCGGCCUCUGUCCAAGAGGUCAUCGCGCUCAACAGGCCCUCACUCCUCGGCUCCGCCUGCGGAGGUCGUCGACGCCAUCGCAGGGUGCCGCUUUGAGGCCGGGGUUGAAGCUGCCACCGAGGAGGCCAUCUUGACGCAGAUGUUGCAGGCACUCCUGACGUUCAUGCGCUCCCCUGCGAUUAGUGACCAACACAUCUGCUCUGUCGUGAGCAUGUGCUUCGUGUCAUACAGGUCGCGGCCAAAGGCGAGCUCGUGCAGCGGUUCAGGUGCAUCCCAUAGGGGCAGCUCAAGUUUCUUUCAUAAUGCUAUUUGUUCUGAGUGCAUUGUAUAUUGAAGUAAACUGGAUGGGUUAAUCUUGAGUUCCUCCAUCAAGUUAUAUUACCUCGACAAGAAAAGGUGCAGGGAAACCAUAUAAAGUACUAUGGUGAGUCUAUCUCAAUUGAACUAGAACUCAAAUUGUAGCAAUUCCAAGCUUUUCUCUACAACUGCAAUUGGGUGGACUAUGGUAUGGGUCGGUUUAUUAGUUUGAAGGGAUUUUAAGUGACAACCUGCUACUUUUUCUACUGGUAGUGAAUUCAAAUUAAGUCUGAUGUCUCUAUCUAAUAUACUGAACCUGGAAGAUUUGUCUGAGGUCUUUAUCUAAUAUAUCAAGAAUUGUCUUUCUGUUCUGAACAUGGAACUGAACAUGAGAAAUUUACCUUACUGUUAAUUGCAGUUUUGUCUCAUUGCCAAUAUAUCUGCAUAAGGUACAUCUAAGGAGGCCUUCUCCGACAAGGAGGCUGCGGGUCGAGGUCGUCGGCAGUGACGAUGCCGCCAGCCGCAAGCGCCGCCGCGAGGACGACAAAAGAGAAGUUUAGAUCUUUUUGGACAGUUAUUGCAGCCAACAGCCAACAUUCUAAAUGAGUAUAAAAUGAGGUAAUAUAUCCCUCUGUGAUAAUAGUUUAACAUAUGGGCUACUCGUGGUUGCAUGCUAAAUUAUUGCUGGUAUCAACUUUAUUAUUAGUUUAGUGAUUAUUACAAGCAUCUCAAUUUUUCAGUCAAAGGCAUCUAAAAUGUUUCUUGAUUCACGCAUGUAUAUUUCAAAGAGGAAUGCAGCCUUGAGUAAAUGAAUAUUGCAAAGCUUAAUACCAGUCCCCAAAACUUGCUCUGGCCAGAGAAAGAGGCCAAUAUCCGGCGUGGUCUGUUCAAUCUACUACAUGUAAUUUGAUAUGUGUAGCUAGACCCCGUCGAAGUGAUCUUUUUGUUUCUCGUCUCAUGUAACUGAAGAAAAUGAGAGAAGGUAUUGGACACUGGUCAUGUAUGUAGUCGGCAGAGCUGUUUUAUGCAAUGCCUAUUGUCACAAUAGCAUAUAUGUCUAUACGGGGAGGAGACCAAGAGAGUACAUCAGAAGCCAUUGAUUUGCCAUGGAAUAUUAAAAACUUUCAGAUUACCUGUUCAUAUGAUGGUAUCCACAAGAAACUUCCUAUCCUGUAUGUUUUAGCAUGCUCCACACAAAUAUAUUAAUUAAUUUGUGUAGGUAUGCUUCUCCUUCUUUCAGUUCCUGAAUAAUUAUACCACCAUCUGUGUGGAGUAUCUUGUAGUGCUCCACACAAAUAGAUAAAUUAUUAUUUAUGAGUAUGCUUCUCCUUUUAUCAGCUCCUGAAGAAUUAUACUGAUGUCGUGUGCUUUAUUUGCAAGAUUUAUAUGACUUAAACAAGAACUUGUUAAAUAAUAUGAGUGCAUAUAAGUAGAUUGAUCUUGCCUCUUAUGUAGUCUGGUAGAUUUGGAAAGAAAGGAAUUGCAGAUUUUGUCUGGACAAAGAGAUGAAGCCAGAAAGGUAAAUGUCUCAAGUUCUACAGAAUGUUCGCCUCAUAUUGGAGGCAUUUGAAACAAGCCUUUGCUACUGUACAUCCAAGCUGGGUUCUUGAUGUUAAUUUCAUUUAUACGCAUAGUAAUAAAUUUUGCCCCUGGCUUCCUAAGCAUAUACUUUGUUCCUGGCUAGGAAUAAUUUCCAAACAGUUUUACAAAUGGUGAAAAAGAAAGGGUUUUGUUUACUAUUUUUUAUGACCGUGGACUCAUGAGUUCAUAACAUAUAAUGUAUUAUUUGUGUUCAUUCCUUUAAUGUGGAUUAUAACAUGAUCUACCUUUGCAUAAACAUCAAGGACUACUUUUGGUUCAUAUUCAUGCAUCCACUUCUCGAUAUUGAGAUUUUUCACAUAUACUGAACUUGUCUUAGUCAGCCCAACUCAGCUGUAUGUGUGACAUUUAUAAGAUGACUCCGUAAAAUUCAUAGAAGACACUAUUCUUUUAUUCUGUUCUUUUGUUUCUUCCAGAUUUUGCUCUCCUUGCUUAUAUUUCGAUAUUGUUAAUUUGAUUAGAUGACUCGGUCGAUGAUGUUGGGCAUGUCCAUGGUAUCCAUUAAAAAACUUAAAAAAAGUCUUGCACCGGAAUAAAAUUAGAUAGCACACCACUUAUGAGUCGAAACAUAUGCAAGCCAAGCCGGUACCAUAAAAUUAGUAGAUUAGGUCCAUUCCAGCCGCUAAUUCUUUGUGCCAAUGCUAAGUAUGUGAUGAUCUUUCCACAAAAAAUCAAGUUUGUAUAGAGUGACCAAUGCUAAGUAUGUGAUAAGCUUGCACUGACUUUUAGUUACAUCUGAUGAUCUUUCCACAAAAAAUGUAUUAUAGAGUGUAAUAUUUACAGUGUGGGGAUGUUGGUGGCCAAGAAAGUUUAUGCCCUUGUGAAGACAUUACUAUGAAAUCCUAAGUUAUCCUGUAAAAAGGAUUCUUAUGAUACGCAUGUAAAGCAACUUCUGAACUUUUAUGUAGAUAUUUAAGUGCCAAUACCAUCUUUUGGUAUAACACAAAAAAAUCAAGUUUUGAGGCCAGAGAUUUACCUUGCUUUUGCAUGUGCAUUACUUUAGCUAUUCAACCUGCCGUCGAGCUUUUAGUUGAAGUUCACUAAAUUUCUUAUAUCGGCAUUUCAGGGAUAAUACGAUUGACCCAACUGUUACCGGUGCAAUGCUUUUGGGGUCGACCAAAACAUUUAAAAAUGUUAAAUGUGGUUAUGUGAUAAAAUCAAGUAUGAAGGAGGAAGAGAUCAACACCAGCCGCGGCAACAAAGAUGACAGUGUGUCUCACUGAGCAUGAGCAAUGGCACACUCUUGUCGAGUACCUACCAAGAUGCUUCCCUGGUCAGACUUCGAGCACUUCCUCCUUGCCGCCGCCGCCUUGGCUAAUGUUGUUGUUUCCUUGGAUAAGCCGUAUCAGGUGUAUUUGAAGGUUGCCAGUUUAGGUGGGCCAAACAACCAGUGCGCUGAGGUCAAAAUAAGCAUGACACCAGCUUUAUUCUUUUAGGGGUCGCCUACAUGAUGAAGGAUGCUCAGGCACACAUCAUUGUUGGGUUUUCGCAUGUCAUGUCAUACUUGGUCUGUAACUGAAUCUUGAGAAUUCAUUUGUAUGACUUGAUGUACAGACGUGUUAUUCAUAAUGAAAAUAAUAUCAUUGUAUGUGCUUAAAAUAUUA